This 513-nucleotide ribosomal RNA is filed under the name uncultured bacterium. RNAcentral describes it as "partial 16S ribosomal RNA". It matches the Rfam family "Bacterial small subunit ribosomal RNA", at positions 28 to 523 of the family's 1533-position model. The record is from RNAcentral.
GACGAACGCUGGCGGCAUGCCUAAUACAUGCAAGUCGAGCGAACAGAUGAAGUGCUCGCACUUCUGACGUUAGCGGCGAACGGGCGAGUAACACGUAAGGAAUCUACCUAUAAGCGGGGGAUAACAUUCGGAAACGGGUGCUAAUACCGCAUAAUAUCUUCUUCCGCAUGGAAGAAGAUUGAAAGACGGCUCUGCUGUCACUUAUAGAUGACCUUGCGGUGCAUUAGUUAGUGGGUGGGGUAACGGCCUACCAAGACGAUGAUGCAUAGCCGACCUGGGAGCGGGAUCGGCCACAUUGGGACUGAGACACGGCCCAAACUCCUACGGGAGGCAGCAGUAGGGAAUCUUCCGCAAUGGGAGAAAGCCUGACGGAGCAAUGCCGCGUGAGUGAAGAAGGCCUUCGGGUCGUAAAACUCUGUUAUAAGAGAAGAACAAAUUGUAGAGUAACUGCUACAGUCUUGACGGUAUCUUAUCAGAAAGCCACGGCUAACUACGUGCCAGCCGCCGCCGUAA